GGGUCAAGUCAUUCUGUUUAUUGGCACACAAAGAACCUUCUUUUAUGCAGGUUUCCCUGAGAUAGGACCACCCACAGGGUUUUACACAACAACCAAUAAUAACCGUACAUUCCAGAAACACUCCCAGCAAUUAUACACAAAAAUCCUCCCCUCUGCCUGUGAUCUAAUUAUGGUACACAAGAGAUUAACAUAAUUAUCACAGACAGUAAAAAUACAGCUUUUACCCAUACCCUGUAACUUUAAAACCAUACAUCCAAUCUUCAUACAAAUUACAUAUUUAGAAUCAAUCCAUUCAGGGGAG
Molecule: non-coding RNA, 301 nt
Organism: Pelobates cultripes (western spadefoot toad)
Lineage: Eukaryota; Metazoa; Chordata; Amphibia; Anura; Pelobatidae
Source: the annotation of a GenBank genome assembly